RNAcentral lists this ribosomal RNA (1405 nucleotides) under gut metagenome. Its description in RNAcentral is "bacterial LSU rRNA". It matches the Rfam family "Bacterial large subunit ribosomal RNA", at positions 898 to 2378 of the family's 2925-position model. The record is from RNAcentral.
GGAGGUAAAGCACUGAAUGGGCUAGGGGCCGAUAAGGUUACUGAACCCUAUCAAACUCUGAAUGCCGGCUAAUUGAUGACUAGCAGUCAGACUACGUGAGAUAAGUUUCGUGGUCAAAAGGGAAACAGCCCAGACCCACAGCUAAGGUCCCAAAUGUAUGCUAAGUGGAAAACGAUGUGGAGUUGCGAAAACAACCAGGAUGUUGGCUUAGAAGCAGCCACUCAUUAAAAGAGUGCGUAAUAGCUCACUGGUCGAGUGACUCUGCGCGGAAAAUAUAACGGGGCUAAGCAUGCAACCGAAGCUUGGGCUUGUCGCAAGACAGGGGUAGGGGAGCGUCGAAUAUGGGGUGAAGUCGCAGCGGGAGCAGCGGUGGACUGUAUUCGAGUGAGAAUGCCGGAAUGAGUAGCGAGAAUUAUGUGGGAAUCAUAAUGGCCGAAAAUCUAAGGUUUCUUGGGGAAGGUUCGUCCGCCCAAGGUAAGCCGGGAGCUAAGGCGAGGCCGCAAGGCGUAGUCGAUGCACAUACGGUAGAAAUUCCGUAGCCGCCGAACUUUAAGCAUGCUGACACUUUGGAAUAGGGGAACCCGGGCGUUGGUCGACCCGGGCGUAAGGGACCGAAAAAUAGUAGGGAAGUCCUUGAUGUCCAGAGGCGAGAAAAGGCAUGUGGUAUACUAAGGCGCCCGUACCGCAAACCGACACAGGUAGAUGAGGAGAGAAUCCUAAGGCCAACGGGAGAAGGGUUGUUAAGGAACUCGGCAAAAUGACCCCGUAACUUCGGGAUAAGGGGAGCCUGCGCGAGCAGGCCGCAGAGAAUAGGCCCAAGCGACUGUUUACCAAAAACACAGGUCUAUGCUAAAUCGAAAGAUGACGUAUAUGGGCUGACGCCUGCCCGGUGCUGGAAGGUUAAGAGGAGAGCUUAGUCGCAAGGCGAAGGUUUGAAUUGAAGCCCCAGUAAACGGCGGCCGUAACUAUAACGGUCCUAAGGUAGCGAAAUUCCUUGUCAGGUAAGUUCUGACCCGCACGAAUGGCGUAACGAUUUGGGCACUGUCUCAACAGCCCACCCGGCGAAAUUGUUGUACUGGUGAAGAAGCCAGUUACCCGCAACUAGACGGAAAGACCCCAUGGAGCUUUACUGUAGCUUAAUACUGGAAAUCGGUAAAUCAUGUACAGGAUAGGUGGGAGACUUGGAAGCCUGGGCGUCAGCUUAGGUGGAGUCAACCUUGGGAUACCACCCUUGAUUUGCUGGUUUUCUAACCUGCGGCCGUGAAUCCGGUCGGGGGACACUGUUAGGUGGGCAGUUUGACUGGGGCGGUCGCCUCCAAAAAGGUAACGGAGGCGCUCAAAGGUUCGUUCAGCACGGACGGAAACCGUGCAGUGAGUGUAAACGCAUAAACGAGCCUAACUGCGA